UGGGCUAUUAGCUCAGGUGGUUAGAGCGCAGUCCUGAUAAGACUGAGGUCCCUGGUUCGAGUCCAGGAUGGCCCACCCA
Molecule: transfer RNA, 79 nt
Filed under: Thermogemmatispora aurantia
Lineage: Bacteria; Bacillati; Chloroflexota; Ktedonobacteria; Thermogemmatisporales; Thermogemmatisporaceae
Also listed under: 1 other name
Description: tRNA-Ile
Rfam family: tRNA
About the family: Transfer RNA (tRNA) molecules are approximately 80 nucleotides in length. Their secondary structure includes four short double-helical elements and three loops (D, anti-codon, and T loops).
Source: RNAcentral